RNAcentral lists this ribosomal RNA (483 nucleotides) under uncultured bacterium. RNAcentral describes it as "partial 16S ribosomal RNA". It matches the Rfam family "Bacterial small subunit ribosomal RNA", at positions 30 to 506 of the family's 1533-position model. The record is from RNAcentral.
AUUGAACGCUGGCGGCAGGCCUAACACAUGCAAGUCGAGCGGAUGAAGGGAGCUUGCUCCUGGAUUCAGCGGCGGACGGGUGAGUAAUGCCUAGGAAUCUGCCUGGUAGUGGGGGAUAACGUCCGGAAACGGGCGCUAAUACCGCAUACGUCCUGAGGGAGAAAGUGGGGGAUCUUCGGACCUCACGCUAUCAGAUGAGCCUAGGUCGGAUUAGCUAGUUGGUGGGGUAAAGGCCUACCAAGGCGACGAUCCGUAACUGGUCUGAGAGGAUGAUCAGUCACACUGGAACUGAGACACGGUCCAGACUCCUACGGGAGGCAGCAGUGGGGAAUAUUGGACAGUGGGCGAAAGCCUGAUCCAGCCAUGCCGCGUGUGUGAAGAAGGUCUUCGGAUUGUAAAGCACUUUAAGUUGGGAGGAAGGGCAGUAAGUUAAGACCUUGCUGUUUUGACGUUACCAACAGAAUAAGCACCGGCUAACUUCGU